Molecule: ribosomal RNA, 397 nt
Filed under: uncultured bacterium
Lineage: Bacteria
Description: bacterial SSU rRNA
Rfam family: Bacterial small subunit ribosomal RNA
Source: RNAcentral
UAUUGCGCAAUGGGGGAAACCCUGACGCAGCAACGCCGCGUGGGUGAAGAAGGCCUUCGGGUUGUAAAGCUCUGUCUUCUGGGACGAUAAUGACGGUACCAGAGGAGGAAGCCACGGCUAACUACGUGCCAGCAGCCGCGGUAAUACGUAGGUGGCAAGCGUUGUCCGGAUUUACUGGGCGUAAAGGGAGCGUAGGCGGAUAUUUAAGUCAGAUGUGAAAUACCCGAGCUUAACUUGGGUGCUGCAUUUGAAACUGGAUAUCUGGAGUGCAGGAGAGGAAAGUGGAAUUCCUAGUGUAGCGGUGAAAUGCGUAGAGAUUAGGAAGAACACCAGUGGCGAAGGCGACUUUCUGGACUGUAACUGACGCUGAGGCUCGAAAGCGUGGGGAGCAAACAGG